RNAcentral lists this ribosomal RNA (918 nucleotides) under Amylosporus sulcatus. RNAcentral describes it as "LSU rRNA". It matches the Rfam family "Eukaryotic large subunit ribosomal RNA", at positions 55 to 951 of the family's 3401-position model. Lineage: Eukaryota; Fungi; Basidiomycota; Agaricomycetes; Russulales; Wrightoporiaceae. The record is from RNAcentral.
GGAAAAGAAACUAACAAGGAUUCCCCUAGUAACUGCGAGUGAAGCGGGAAAAGCUCAAAUUUAAAAUCUGGUGGUCUCUGGCCACCCGAGUUGUAGUCUGGAGAAGCGUCUUCUGUGCUUGGACCGUGUACAAGUCUCCUGGAAUGGAGCGUCAUAGAGGGUGAGAAUCCCGUCUUUGACACGGAUGGCCAGUGCUCUGUGAUACGCUCUCGAAGAGUCGAGUUGUUUGGGAAUGCAGCUCAAAAUGGGUGGUGAAUUCCAUCUAAAGCUAAAUAUUGGCGAGAGACCGAUAGCGAACAAGUACCGUGAGGGAAAGAUGAAAAGCACUUUGGAAAGAGAGUUAAACAGUACGUGAAAUUGUUGAAAGGGAAACGCUUGAAGUCAGUCACGUCUGCCAGAACUCAGCCUUGCAACCUUGCUUGGUGUACUUUCUGGUGGUCGGGCCAGCAUCAAUUUUGAUCAUCAGAUAAAGUUGAGGGAAAUGUGGCACCUUCGGGUGUGUUAUAGUCCCUUGUCACAUGUGAUGGUUGGGAUUGAGGAACUCAGCAUGCCCUUGUGGGCUGGGGCUUUGCCCCACAUCCAUGCUUAGGAUGCUGGCAUAAUGGCUUUAAGCGACCCGUCUUGAAACACGGACCAAGGAGUCUAACAUGCCCGCGAGUGUUUGGGUGGAAAAACCCAUGCGCGCAAUGAAAGUGAAAGUUUGGGACCUCUGUCAUGGAGGGCACCGAAGCCUGGCCCUGAAGUGCUCUGACGGUGCUGCGGUGGAGCGUGCAUGUUGGGACCCGAAAGAUGGUGAACUAUGCCUGAAUAGGGUGAAGCCAGAGGAAACUCUGGUGGAGGCUCGUAGCGAUUCUGACGUGCAAAUCGAUCGUCAAAUUUGGGUAUAGGGGCGAAAGACUAAUCGAACCAUCUAGUAGC